GCAAGUCACUCCCACAGUCUCAAAGGAAUUUCAUUUUCUGUAGCCUGGAACAGGUAGCAAGUGCAGUCUUACAAAGUCCUGAGAUGCCUUAUAGGCAUCCUGCUGUCUCUGUGCACAGUACUUAGCAUCUCAUUAAGCACUAUAAUCUCUCCAACAAGCACACUACCUUGGCCCCAGGUUUACAUGCACCAUUCUGGCCAAGUGGAAGUUUUUAAACUCCUUUAGCUCUGCUUUCUGUUCAUGAUUUUCACAGAACCUGGCUAAACACAACCUACAAUAUCCAUGCCACCAAUCAAAUGCUAUGCUGUCUUAAACUUUUAUCCACAGGAUUCAUUAGCCCCUUACUUUUAAAUUCAGCUUCACACAAAUCUCACAGCAGAAAUAGCCAAGUUCUUUGCCAGAAUAUACCAUGAGUAUCCCCUAGUCCAAUUACCAGUUGAGUCCUAAUAUCCCUCUGAAAUCUCAUGUGCAACAGACGCCAUUCCUGUUGGAAUUCUGGUCUUCUGAACUCCCACCAGAAUCACCCAUUAAGUUCUGCUUACAAUGCUCUACAGCUUUUCUAGUUUGCAUCUCUUAACUUUUUCAAAUUAUAUCCUGCCAACCAUUUCCAAAGGCUUCUGAACUAUAUGGUCAAGUUAGUCACAGAACAACUCCAUUUAUUGGUACCAAUUUUACUUUCAAUCACCUUUUGUAUCACCAUAACCAAAACACCCAACAAGAACAACUUGGAGAAGGAAAAGUUUAUUUGGCUCAUGGCUUCAGAGGUCUCGGUCUCUAGAUGACUGAUUCCAUUGCUCUGGGUCCAAGGUGAGGCAGCACAACAUGGGGAAAGGGCCCAGUGGAGAAAAGCUACUCAGCGGAUGGCAGGGUCAGGAAUCAGAGAGAGAGGGAAGGGCUGCAGGAACAACAACCAUUACAGGGCAUUCCUCCAGUGACCUCUCUUCUCUAGCCAUACCUCACUGCUUGCAGUUGCCACCCAGUGAGUCCGGUCAUACUGACGGAUUACAUACUCUCAUAAUGUAUUCCUUUCAUCUCUGAAUAUCUUUGCAUUAACAGAAGCUUUUGGAAACACCUCAUAUUCAAACCGUAACACCCUUUAGCCCUCUGAAACCUAUGUUGUAAGGGAACCAAAGUGAAAACUUUACCCAGCUAGGCAGGAUAGAGUCUCAUUUUCGGUUUAUAUGGAAGUGAGACUAUCUGUACAAUAUUCAUGUGAGCACCAUUUUAUCAAUGAAAAAUCAUUUGGACCAGAUGUUAAACUAAAGGACAAACCUCUGGGUUUCAUGUGAGAUAAACAUACUUGGGUUGAUUUGGUUUUCUGUAUAUGGUCUUUUAAUUAGUCAUUUGAUGCUAAUUUCCCCAGGGAGUAGGUUAUAAAUAAUUAUUACCUUUGUAUCACAACUAACCCUGUUGAAGUCUUGUAAAAAAUUGCCUAUGUAUUGAUUGUUUCAUUCAGUCUUGAAAGCCACCCUUUCUUCUAGGAUUGUAGGUAUGAACUUCAUUUUAUCAUUUGUUGAAUUCCCCCAAGGUCUUUAGUCAGGCUAUUGCUGGUUAAUUAUUUGUUUUCAAGCAUAUAAAGCAUAUAGCCUUUCUUAUUUUUUUAUUUACAAGGUCAGCAUACUUCUGUCUGAAUAUGACAGUGGUUCAUGCAAAACCAAAUACAGGAAAUAUUCUACUUCACUUUUACAGUAGUUUCUGUAUUUUUGAAAACUUUUGGAAAAAAUCCCACAACAAUGUUUCUACCAGUUGAGUGCCUAUCAAACUUCAAGUCCUGCAACCUACCACUUCUACCAACAUCAAAUCCAUUUUUAACUUGUUAUUGCUUCAUAUGAAAUAAAGUCUUCCUCACAGAGUUUUUGGAAUGUUUAGACAUUAUACAUGUGGUAUGCUGUGUACAUGUUUU
RNAcentral lists this long non-coding RNA (1903 nucleotides) under Marmota monax (woodchuck). The record is from RNAcentral. Lineage: Eukaryota; Metazoa; Chordata; Mammalia; Rodentia; Sciuridae.